Molecule: non-coding RNA, 87 nt
Filed under: unclassified sequences
Source: RNAcentral
UAUCCUUUAUCGCCGGGUAAAGGAAUCAAACGUCAGACUUCAUAUCGAUAGGCCAUAGGAGAUAUGAAGAUCUGGCGUUUUUUUUAU